This 83-nucleotide transfer RNA is filed under the name Hygrophorus russula. Its description in RNAcentral is "tRNA-Tyr". It matches the Rfam family "tRNA". Rfam says of the family: Transfer RNA (tRNA) molecules are approximately 80 nucleotides in length. The record is from RNAcentral. Lineage: Eukaryota; Fungi; Basidiomycota; Agaricomycetes; Agaricales; Hygrophoraceae.
GGGCAGGUGACCGAUUGGUAAUGGUGGUUCUCUGUAAAAGAAUUGGUUUAUAACCGUUAGAGGUUCGAUUCCUUUGCUGCUCA